Molecule: long non-coding RNA, 8579 nt
Filed under: Homo sapiens (human)
Lineage: Eukaryota; Metazoa; Chordata; Mammalia; Primates; Hominidae
Source: RNAcentral
CCGGUGCCUGGGGUCUCUGGAGGGGGUACUCAGAGUAUCCGAGGAGGAGACUCCUGGAUGCUAACAGAGCCCCCAGUUAGGAGCAGUCCGCGAGACAGUUGGUAACAGUGCUGGCCUUGCCCGGGCGCCGGAAGGUUCCGUGAGGCCCAGCAAGUCCUGACUUGGCACAGGGCCCAGCACACGGCGCAGUAACAAUAUAAUUACCGUAUGCAGUCCCCCAGGAUACAGGGUCAAAGGAGAGCACAACCAUCGCAGUUGGAAGCCCAUGGGGCAGGGCCCAGGACACAGUGAGCAUACAAUAGACAUUAGCUGCUGUGGUGUCUUGAUUUCAAGCCCAGUGCAGAUGCAUCUGACUUACGAAACUUCAGUGACACCUGCUCUGUGCCAGACACUGAAGAUGGAGCAGUGAACAGCACUGACCCAGCCUGUCCUCCUGUUGCCUGCAGGCCAGAAGCAAGGUCUCGCUGUGUUACCCUGGCUGGAGUGCAGUGGCUACUUACAGGCAUGAUCAUAGCAUACUGCAGCCUCGAACUCCUGGACUAGAGCAGUUCUCCUGCCUCAGCCUCCAGAGCAGCUGGGACUGCAGACACGCACCACAGAGCCCAGCCUGAGUCAUUUUGAUUCUGUAACUGGCUUCCUCUCGGCGGGCAGGCUCACACCCUCCACCCCCAGCUGGAGAUGGAAGGAGGAUGCUCACCGCCCAUUCCUCAUGCAGGCCAUCGAUGGAAAUGUCAGACAGUGCGAGUCCACGCCUGAACACUUCUGGGGUCCGCUCUGGGACUGACACUGGCAGAUCCAUCGUGGCACCCGAGCUCUGUGAGGGCAAGACUUUGUUCGGUUGUGGGCUAUGCCCCCAACCCCUCGGACAGUGCCUGCACAGGUGGACAUUUUUGUUGGAUGAAGGAUUUUCUGUUAAAUGUGUCUGGCACACACAGAAAAACAAAGCCCAGCAGGUACGAUGGUGAUUAUUAUUGUUACUGGUGGCGCUCUAUUAUUGUUAUUAGUGUCUGUUGAAAAAGACCCUGAGCUAUACCAGCCCUUGGUUCUCCAGCCUGUGAAAUGGGCAUCCUGGGCACUGAGGCACUAGCCUUGGGAAGCUGAUAGGGGGUCCCUGCAGGAGAGACAAAGAACACUGCCCACCCCCCCGGGGGAGCCUGCGCCCCUCACCGGAAAGAGAAGCAGGGGGGAGCAGAGGGAGCUUGCAGCCCCACACGCAGGGCUGCCAGAAGGCCAUACAUAAUUCAUUGCCAAAUGGGGCUGCGGGCGGCUCUCCGCGGCGUGCGCUGGGGGCUCACUCUGCGCCUGGCACUUCGCUGACUGCGCCUCACACGUUGCCUCAUUGCAUCUUCAUGGAUUUGCAGGGUGUGACCCUUCCCCCUGUUUUACCCAGGGGGAUCCUGAGGCUCAGAGGAUGGGGCCACCGUGCUAGUCACACAGCCUCUCUGUGGCCAAGCUGGGCCUCGGGCCAGCAGAUUCGGCCCCCAGCGGCCCCCAUUCACUGCCUCUCUGCUGAGGGAAAAGACGGGCCUGGGGAGCGGGUGGGAGGCACAAAGGAGACCCCGCUCUGAGACAGGCUGCAGAAGAGGGAGCUGGGUCUCAGCAGGGCUGGGGAAGGCUCUGGCCCCAGCCCUCCGCCCAACCCCCUGCCCUCCUCUCCUGGAGGAGAUGCUCCCCAAAUUAGCCAUCAUGAGCGCUGGCUCUGGGGGUUGGGCGUUGGGGAGCAGUUUGCUCAGCUGUAAAAUGGGAAUAACAGAAGCCGUCCCUGGGACUAUGAGAUCAAGGUGCUCAAGAAAAGUGGUGUCUGCUGAGGGGAAAAGCCAGUCCCAAAAGGUUGCAUACUCUCAUUCUGUUUAUUUGUUUUUGUUUUUGAGACAGGGUCUCGCCCUGUCACCCAGGCUGGAGUACAGUGGCGCAAUAUGGGCUCACUGCAACCUCCACCUCCUGGGCUCAAGUGAUCCUCCCAUCUCAGACCCUCAAGGAGCUGGGGCUACAGGCACGUGCCACCGUGUCCGGCUAAUUUUUGUAUUUUUUGUAGAGACAGGGUUUCACCAUGUUGCCCAGGCUGGUCUCAAACUCCUGAGCUCAGGUGAUCCGCCUGCCUUGGCCUGCGAUAAAAUUGCACAGAAGUAAAUACACACACGUGAGGAUACGGAAAACCGGGGAAACCUGAGCAAGAGCAGUCAGACCCCGGCUGUGAUGGCGCCCAGUAGUUCUGCGAGAUGUUACCAUUGGGGAAACUGAGUGAAGGCGGGUACCUGGGAUCCCUCUGUUUUCUUUUUUGUUGUUGUUGUUAUUUUGAGAUGAAGUUUCCCUCUUGUUGCCCAGGCUGGGUGAUCCACCUGCCUCGGCCUCCCAAAGUGCUGGGAUUACACGCGUGAGCCACUGUGCCCAGCCUCUCUGUUUUAUUUCUUCUUUUUUUUUUUUUUUUUUUGGAGACGCUCUGUCGCCCAGGCUGGAGUGCAGUGGCACGAUAUUGGCUCACUGCAAGCUCCGCCUCCUGGGUUCACACCAUUCUCCUGCCUCAGCCUCCCGAGUAGCUGGGACUACAGGCGCCCGCCACCUCGCCCGUCUAAUUUUUUGUAUUUUUAGUAGAGGCGGGGCUUCACCGUGUUAGCCAGGAUGGUCUCAAUCUCCUGACCUCGUCAUCCGCCCGUCUCGGCCUCCCAUAGUGCUGGGAUUACAGGCAUGAGCCACCACGCCCGGCUGUUUUAUUUCUUAUAACUGUACAGGAAUCUACAAUGAUUGUAACAAAAAUUUCAAUUAAGGCCACUCUAGGCACAUGGCCUGUGGGGUAGCCCUGCUCAACAAGAAGCCGUCAAAAAAAUGUUUUUUAAUUAAAAAAUUUCUUCAAUUAAAAAGCGUUAUCUUCCUCUGCCCGGAAAGGGUUAAGUGAGUCACUGCAGUUAGCUCCCCUUCCCCCACAACCACCUAGACCAGGCCAGGGACCAGCGGGCAAUUGCCUGGCAGCUGGAGUUUUCCUCCACUGUGGACUGUACUUCUUGCGUCACUCUGAAUGUCUCCAGUCUUUAUUCCAGAAUGUUCUGGUCCUCUCCCACUUUUCCAAGGACAGGAAUUCCCUAGUGGGGCUCCAGAAGAGGCUCUGGAGGAGAACAAGAAAGGCCCUUGUCAUCCAUUGGCCUCAGGCUGGGAAAUCUCGGUUCCACUCCCAGCCCAGCCUCAAUAUUAGGUUGUCAGUCUGGAGUCUGAGAGCCAUGCCCCCACCCCCUUAGUCCUUCACCUCCAGGAGAGUUGGGGAUACUGGAAAGAAUGUUGAGUGUCAGAGCCCCUCUCAGUGGCUCACGCCUGAAAUCCCAGCCCUUUGGGAGGCUGAGGCAGGUGGAUUGCUUGAGGCCAAGAGUUCAAGACCAGCCUGGCCAACGCGACGAAACCCUGACUCUACUAAAAAUACAAAAAUUAGCUGGGCGUGGUGGCACACACCUGUAAUCCCAGCAGCUCGGGAGGCUGAGGCAGGAGAAUUGUUUGAACCUGAGAGGUGGAGGUUGCAGUGAGCUGAGAUCACAACACUGCACUCAAAAAGUAGUUAAUUAAUUUAGUUUAAUUAAAAAAGAAUAUUGAGUGUCAGGCAAUCUGGGUAGAACCCAUUGUGUUUCUACAGGAUAGAAUCUGCUGUGUUCUCUAGCGGAACUUCCGGAUCACCUUCACCGUAUGACUCUAGACAAUCCCUGUCCACUCUUCAGUUUUAGAUGCCCCAUUCAAAGAAUGAAAGAAUUGUCCUAGAUGAUCCUUUAGGGUCUUCCAGGCUGAUGACAAGGGGGACCUGGCCCCUCUGCUGCUGGCCAAAGAGGACUUUACUUCCCAUUCCGUGUGGUUGAACAAGAAUUGCUGGGCUCCAGUCCUGCCUUUGGCCCUUCCCUACAUGUGACCUUGGGCCCUCUUUGCCUUUCAGAAUCAAUACAGUGAGAGAGUUAACACAAGCUCAGGUUAGUAAGUCAUUCAACAAACAUUUACUGAGCGCUUAUCAAAUACUGCAUGCUGGAGUGGACACUGGAGAAAAAGGUGAGGAGAAGGCCGGGCGCAGUGGCUCGUGACUGUAAUUCCAGCACUUUGAGGGGCAGAGGCAGGUGGAUUACCUGAGGUCAGGAGUUUGAGACCAGCCUGGCCAACAUGGCAAAACCCCGUCUCUACUAAAAAUACAAAUAUUAGCCAGGCAUGGUGGUGCAUAUCUGUAGUCCCAGCUACUCAGGAGGCUGAGCAGGAGAAUCACUUGAACUCAGGAGGUGGAGCGUGCAGUGGGCCGAGAUUGCACCUCUGCACUCCAGCCUGGGCAACAUAGUGAGACUCUGUCUCAAAUAAAUAAAUAAAGUGAGGAGAAAAAAAUACCAUCUCUGUCUUCACAGAACUUAUAGUUUGAGAGGGGAGAAUCCCACAAGUAAAUUAUAAAUCUCAGCUGAGAUUAUGCAAAGAAGCAAAGGCCGGACGUGGUGGCUCACGCCUGUAAUCCCAGCACUUUGGGAGGCCGAGACGGGCGGAUCAUGAGGUCAGGAGAUUGAGACCAUCCUGGCUAACACGGUGAAACCCUGUCUCUACUAAAAAUACAAAAAAAUUAGCUGGGCGUGGUGGCGGGCGUCUGUAGUUCCAGCUACUCGGGAGGCUGAGGCAGGAGGAUGGCGUGAACCCAGGAGCACAGGUUGCAGUGAGCCGAGAUGGCGCCACUGCACUCCAGCCUGGGCGACAGAGCGAGACUCUGUCUCAAAAAAAAAAAAAAAAAAGGAAGCAAAGUGCCCAGCUGGGAUGGUGGUUUCAGAGGCCACAGUGGGAGCUUCCCAGAGAAGGGAUGAUUGAGCUAAGUCUAAGCAAAAGGGGUGGUCAGGGCAGCAGCUGCUCCAAAACAGGGGCUGGGGGCUUAUGUGGAGAGAGAAGACAUGGAGAGACCAUGCCCAGAAGGAGGCGGCGGCUUCAGUGAACAGUGCAGGGGAGCAGGUCCGAGGAGGCCGCCUACCAGGGGAAGGAGUCUCAUCUCCAUCCUAGACAAAAAAAGGAUCUUUUGAGAUGCAUUAAGCAGGGGAGUCACAGAUUGGAUUUGUGUUUUGAGAAUCUCCUGCUUACCUAGAGAAGAAGGGCAUCUCCUGGGCCCUCACUGUUGCCUUAAAUGAUUUUUAUUGUGUAUUACUUAAACAUGUGCAAGCAUAAAAUGAGAUAUAAACUCCUUGUAGCUCUUAUACAAGCAUCAGACCAAGACAAAUUGACCCAUCACGUACAAAAUCGAUUCAAAUCAGAUUAAUUUUAUGUGACAUGUUAUUAUGCCUUUUGUCUGAAACCCUGCCACCACCCACAGUGCAAUUAUGGCCCAACCACUGUGGUGUUCUGAAUUUGUGGGACAGAGAAUAUUGGCCUUUUAAACACGUGCAUGCAUGCAUUUGCGUGUGCGCACACACACACAUCCCAAAUGAUUUUUUCCCACUAUAUAUGAAGAACUCCUACAAACCAAAAAGAAAAAGGCAGACAAUUCAAGAGAAAAAUGGGGGAGGGCUUGCAUUAAAGUACUUCAUAACAAGAGUACUUAGGAGGCCAACAAAUACACGAAAAGCUGCUAGCUUCAUGACUCAUGGGGGUGGCUUGGUCAGUUCAGGAUACUGUAACAAAAUACCUUAGACUGGGAAAUUUAUAAACAACGGAAUUUAUUGCUCACAGUUCUGGAGGCUGGGAAGUCCAAGAUCAAGGCAGCAGUAGAUCCGGUGCCUGAGCCCGUUCCCUGCUUCAAACAUGGCACCUUCUUGCUGUAUCCUCACAUGGUGGAAGGGGGAAGACAGUUCUCUGGGGCCUCUUUUAUAAGGGCAGUUAUCCAAUUCACAAGGAUAGAGCCCUCAUGACCUAAUCACCUUUCAAAGAUCCCCAUCUUCUAACACCUUCUAACACCAUCACCUUGGUGAUUAGGUCUUUUUGUUGUUGUUGUUGUUGAGAUGGACUCUCACUCUGUUGCCUAGGCUGGAGUGCAGUGGCGUAAUCUUGGUUCACUGCAACCUCUGCCUCCCGGGCUGAAGUGAUUAUCCUGUCUCAGCCUCCCAAGUGGCUGGGAUUACAGGCGUGUGCCACCAUGCCCGGCUAAUUUUCAUAUUUUUAGUAGAGACAGGGUUUCACCAUGUUGGUCAGGCUGGUCUCGAACUCCUGACCUCAUGAUCCGCCCACUUCGUCCUCCCAAAAUGCUGGGAUUACAGGCAUGAGCCACUGCACCCAGCCGAUUAAGUCUUAACGUAUGAGUUUUUGGGAGAAACUCAAACAUUCGGACAAUAGCAAGGAGAAUACAAAACCACAGUGAGCUACCGCUUCAGACACCAGAGAAGUUUAAGUGAAAAAGACUGGCAAUACCAAGUGCUGAUGAGGAUAUGGAGCAACCAGAACUCUCAGACAUUGCUGAUGGGAAUCUAAAUUAGUAUAACCACCACGAAAGCAUCCGUAAGGUUUAAUUGUGUUGAACACACCCUGCCCUCUGACCAAGCAUUUCCACUCCUGGGCAUACAGGCAAAAGAAAUGCAUCCACGUGUUCAUCAAAAGAUGUAACCUGUGCCAGGUGAGGUGGUUCAUGCCUGUAAUCCCAGCACAUCGGGAGGCCAAGGAGGGAGGAUUGCUUGAGCCCAGAAGUUCGAGAGCAGCCUAGGCAACAAGGCAAAACCUCGUCUCUACUAAAAAGUAGCCAGGCAUGAUGGUAUAUGCCUGUAGUCCCAGCUACUCAGGAGGCCAAGGCAUGCAGAUUGAUUGAACCCGGAAGGUGGAGGCUACAGUGAAUUGUGAUCUCGCCACUGCACUCCAGCCUGGGUGACAGAGCAAGAUCUUGUCUCAAUUAAAAAAAAAGGAAGAAAGAAAGACAUAACCUGGAAUAUUCACACCAACACUAUUCAGGAUAGCCCUAAACUGGAAAGAAUCUGAAUAUCCUCCGGCUUUAGAACAGAGAGAAAUUAUAGACUAUUCAUUCAUACAGGGGAUGAUUGAUCAGCUUUAAGAAUAAACAAACCGUACACAACAAUAUAGAUGAAUCUACAACCUUAAUGUGCAAAAUAGUUCACAUAUAUAAAGGACAAAAACAGGCAAAACUACUCCAUGGUGUUAGAAAUAGGGGUAGAGGUUACCCUCAUGCGGCAGGAGGGUUAGUGAUAGGGGAUUUGGAAGAGGAGGAGCCCAAUGGACUGAACAGCUGAGCUGGAAACAGCAAUUUGUUCCUUAAAGUUCUGAACCCAACUGUUAUCCAGCAUGGAGUCUGUCUGGAGAGGCCAGAUGUGGGGCCUCUCACAGGGGAAUGAGAAGUGCCUCUCAGGGUCCCACCCAUGAUCCCCCUUUCCUUGCCCACACAACCACCAACUGGCAAGUAGUAACCCAGGACCUGUAGCCCCCACUGGCUUGACACAGAGCAUAAUGCAAGCUUUUCCUGCUCCAGGUCCUGGACACCACUUUGCCCUUUGCCCCACACGUACAGCCCCCUGACCAAAAGCUGGGUACUCUGGCUUGACUAGAGGGAGCUAGACUCCAGGAAUAAGUAAGGAGCUGGGCUUCCACGCUAGAGAACAAGAGCUUCUCUGGGGAAAGGGGCUUCCCAUGAAGCCCUGGGGCACUGGGAGAUUAAUGGGCAGACCUCUGGCCUCAGCUUCCAGGGAAGGGGAGGGUGUGGGCCAACAUGCGGUGGCUACACUGACCACAAGCCGAUGACCCCAGCCAGCCUCAGGAUGUCUCAGCUCUAGGCAUGGUUUUUCGUUUUGUUUUGUCGUGUUUUGUUUUUGAGAUGGAACCUCGCUCUGUCGCCUAGGCUGGAGUGAAGUGGCACCAUCUCGUCUCCCUGCAACCUCCACCUCCUGGGUUCAAGCGAUUCUCCUGCCUCAGCCUCCUGAGUAGCUGAGAUUACAUGUGCGUGCCACCUUGCCCAGCUAAUUUUUGUAUUUUUAGUAGAGAUAGGGUUUCAUCAUGUUAGCUAGGCUGGUCUCAAACUCCUGACCUCAAGUGAUCUGCCUGCCUCAGCCUCCCAAAGUGCAAGGAUUACAGGCAUGAGCCACCAUGCCCGGCAUAGGCAUGGUUUUGACAAUCUGUCUCUUUGUGCCCUGGCUCCUUCUCCAACUCCUCUUUGGAGGAGGCACAGGAGGAGGGGUCAUUUCACUGUUCCUGAAAAGUAGACAUAUAACCUACAUGCAACUGCCAGGUGAUAAGGGCCCCAUCUGUCUGGCAUGACGUUGGAGGUCCACAAAGGCUGAUUAGAUGAAUGCUCAGCUCUGGGGCCUCCCCACAGAGCUCACAGACAGGCGUGAAGGAAAGCAGGACUCUUAUUAGAAUAUGUUCAGAGUUUUCACUGAAGAAGCCUCCUGUGUGGGCCAGGCACUGUGCUCAGUGCUUUGAUUCACAGUCUCAUUUAAUUCUCACCAUUUACAGACAAGAAUUCAGCUAAGAUCCUUUUCAAUCAAGUCUGGCAAUAUCUGCCUUUCAAUGGCAGUGCCUAGUCCUUUCAUAUGUAAUAUACUUAUCAUUAUGGGUGGGUUUAAGUUUUAUCAUCUUGCUAUUUGUUAUCUAUUUGUCCCCCCUCUUUUGUUCCUCCUUUACUGCCUUCUAUUUGGUUGAGACUUAAUAAAAUAUUUUAUUCC